RNAcentral lists this ribosomal RNA (253 nucleotides) under uncultured bacterium. RNAcentral describes it as "partial 16S ribosomal RNA". It matches the Rfam family "Bacterial small subunit ribosomal RNA", at positions 524 to 776 of the family's 1533-position model. The record is from RNAcentral.
UACGUAGGGUGCAAGCGUUGUCCGGAAUUAUUGGGCGUAAAGCGCACGUAGGCGGUUUCUUAAGUCGGGGGUGAAAUCCUGGAGCUCAACUCCAGAACUGCCUUCGAUACUGGGAAACUUGAGUCCGGGAGAGGUGAGUGGAACUGCGAGUGUAGAGGUGAAAUUCGUAGAUAUUCGCAAGAACACCAGUGGCGAAGGCGGCUCACUGGCCCGGUACUGACGCUGAGGUGCGAAAGCGUGGGGAGCAAACAGG